UAACUCAGUCGGUAAAGAAUCUGCCUGCAAUGCAGGAGACCCAGGUUCGAUCCCUGG
This 57-nucleotide transfer RNA is filed under the name Bos taurus (domestic cattle). It matches the Rfam family "tRNA", at positions 8 to 63 of the family's 71-position model. Rfam says of the family: Transfer RNA (tRNA) molecules are approximately 80 nucleotides in length. Lineage: Eukaryota; Metazoa; Chordata; Mammalia; Artiodactyla; Bovidae. RNAcentral also lists the same sequence under 1 other name. The record is from Rfam by way of RNAcentral.